This 8337-nucleotide long non-coding RNA is filed under the name Sorghum bicolor (sorghum). Its description in RNAcentral is "long non-coding RNA (SBIC_LNC010607)". The record is from RNAcentral. Lineage: Eukaryota; Viridiplantae; Streptophyta; Magnoliopsida; Poales; Poaceae.
GCACAUGAUGAGUUCCUAGCAUAACCAACUACCUACCACAGCCAUACUUGCUAUAACAUCUUUUACUAUAUUUACAUUGAGUUUGAUCGAGUUGUGUAGACCCUUAGGAGCUUUUCAUGUGGUUAAAUUAAGAUAUUCACUUGUACACAUCUACUACACCAUCCAUCACCACUCAUUAAAAUUGCUAAAAAUAUUAUCACUCACUGUCCCAAAUAUUGUUAUUCUCUCUCUCUAAAAAGAUUUAAUGCAGAAGAGGCAUGGGUUAUGCAAAAAUAUGCGAGGAAAUAAAAAGGGGCAAGUGCCCGGAACCUCGGAAAAGAAAGAAAAAGAGUGAAACGAGAGGUAAAAAUGGACAAGUGUCCGGAGUAGAAUUAGGGGUACAAAGAUGCCCACUUGAGCGGAAAAAAUGGACAAGUGUCCGACAGUAGAAUUAGGGGUAUCUACUACCCACCUGGAAAAAAAAAGAGAGAGAUAGCCCAUGUUCUCCCAAAGCAAAGAUCAAAGAAGAGGAGAAAUAGCAAUAUGAGGAGCAAUGAGAACUAAGUUUUAUUAUCACUUAUAUAUCUUCACCAUCACUAUCAUUUACUCCACCACACAUGCACAUCUUGAUUUAAUUAUAUGCUGAGUUCCUUUGGAUCCAUGGCUCGAUUAGACAACAUAUGUAUGAGCUGUUUUUCACUCCUAUGAGCUCCACUUAAAUAUUCCAUUAGCUAUAGGUAAGUGAUAUUUUGGUAAGGAUCCACAAAUACCACAUAUAGAGAGAUUUGAGAGAAUCAUUGCUGGAAACUCUGAGUUUUAUUUUGAAAACUUAUGAAAAACUCUGGAACAAAGGUGAAGUAUAAAUAGGAGGAAUAGUGCUUGACUUAAUUAUUUUGUCUUCAAUUACUUAAAGACUUAAGUGCAGGUACUAAACUCCAUAACGCUUCACUCUAAUCUGGAAGAAUUUUUAUGUAAAAGCAUGUGUGCCUGUCAGGAAAGAAAACAUCGAAGCAACUCCUGAUCCAUCUGAGUUUAGCUGUUUGCUCAGAGACGAGCAAAGGGUAAGCUUGGGGGAGUUUGUUGACGGUCCUUAAGUACUAAAAUUAAUAAUCAAAUAAACAUGGAAAAGGAUCAAUAUGAAACAAACAUCUAGAAUUAGGGUUUUAUCUGACAGAAUUCCACGAGCUUUGGUGUUUAUCUAUUUCUGCAGGGGGUUAUCAGAGAAUAUGGAGAGAAGGCCCACAUGUCAUGUUUACAACGAGAUAAUUACGUGCCGCACAAUUUUCUUCAAUCUAGAAGAGUCCAGAAGUCACGGGAACGAACGAGAAGGGAAUCGGGCUCGGGGGCAGGGCGGCCACCCACCCACCUUGGGAGCCCACCCAGGCCAGGAGCCCAAUCAGGACUCUGCUUCGGGGCUAAACUCCACCGACCUAAAGGAUCAAUCUAAACCAUACAAUCUAUGUCGGUUUGAUCCAAUGGCUCACGUUCACUUGAGGGGACUAUAAAACCAGACCCCCUGGCCCCUGGAGGAGAGGAGAGAAGAGAAGAAAUCAUUAUUCAGAGGUAGCCAUCAAAGUUAGGGUUUAGAGCUUCUCUCCCACAGAGAAUUAGAAUUAGCUACUCCCUAAUCCUUCAAGUUUAGAGGUUUGAUUAGAUAGCAAUUAGAGAAGUAGAGCACUACGCUCUGGAUACGGAUCUUCGGUAAUAAAGAUUGGUAUUAUUCAUAUCUUUCUCUAAUUCUAUUGUUCUAAUUGCAUUAUGUCUCUAAUUAUUAUGUUCUUAGUUUGCUCUAGUUCUAUAUUUGAGAUAGUUAUGAUUGAUAAUGAGUUUAUGUAUAAGUUUGUAAAGCGCUUAGCUCUUGACGCGAGGGAGUUAGGUGAUAGAUCACAUGUGAGCGUGGUGCUUAGAUGUUAUUUAUCUGCAAAUGUAUCCUAUUGGCCGGGUUGUGUGGUAGUUCGUGAUAGUGACAGCUUCGUUGAUUCUUAUAUAGUCCACCCUCCGUUGAUAGGACAGGCAGAACCGGUAUUGUGGAGUAAGUCGUUCGAUGCUGUGAUUUACUUUAUCAAUGUUCCUUAUACAUGAAUGAUGAGUCUUUUAUGCUAUAUAUGAUCUUGUAGAUAACUAGAGUAGAUUAUGACUUAGUAGUUAGUAGAUAACUUAGAAUCCAUUCUCUAGCUAAUCCGACAUCACCUACAUAUAUGAGGAGUAGUCUAUUUUCUAAUCGCUGUGUUAUUUACCCAUGAACUUAUAAUUCAAUAUCAUUAUCUUUAUGGUUUACCCCCUGCUAAAGUAAGUGACUGUGUGACGAGCUUCUUAUUAGUAAUCAUGUUCUUGCAAGUUUAUCUCUAGUCUAUUCCUUGAUAGAUUUUGUCCUUAAUUUAAUUUCAUCCCUUUUGUUCUCAUAAGAAAAAUGAUAAAUAACGAUACCUGGAAUACUUAUCCUGGUGAAAUGCUACAAUAAGGUGUUUUAUCUGUGCGCUUGCGGAUAGAAUAGAUUAUUUUCUAGAGAGCCUUUACAUUUAUAAAUACCUUUGUACACUCUGGUACCAUGCUGGGGAUGACAACCUAGUAUUUAAGUGGUGCUAGCUAGUGUCAACACCCCUGCAGCAAGAGAAGACCCCAGGACACCUGGAAACGACGGACAGGUCGACCCACUUCCACAGGAAGACAAGGCCGCACAGCUUGCGCAGCUACGAGAGCUCAAGACAAAGCUUGACGAGGAUCGUGAACGCCUAGUCCUGCUCGAGUAAAUCCUCGAACAAGACUUGCCUUACCCGCCUGGCGGAAGUGUCCACAGACGAGCUCGAGAGGUACACCGACAAAUCGUCGGGGACGUAGAGCCAGAGCAGCCAGUUAGCCGUUUCCCUCGAGCAGGCCAGAAUGUAGUGGCAGCGACAAUGCUGCUGCGCAACAUGCCAGAACCAUCGAACUCCCAAGCUCGACGCAAUCGAGACGAGGUACAGACUCUGCUCCAAGUGGCGGCAGUUCAACAAGCCGAAAGCUCGGCUUCCCGACAUCGAGGAGCUGCCACUGAAAAGCGCGACGAGCCAGCCCAAAUGAAAAGGAUGUGUCGGUUCAUCAACAGCCACCUCCCCGAGCAAAAAAGACCACGCUCGUCCUCCCCGUCGACAACCAGCGUCGACACGACGCACGACGCGAUAUUGAAGAGAAUCGACGCCGUCGGCAUGGAGACGCGGAAGAGCGCGGCUACAGCGCACAUCGCGGUGGGAGGUACGACAGCGAUGAAGACCGGAUGGCCCCCGAGCCACCAGGACCACGGGUGUUCAGCAGGGCAAUCCGCAGCACGCCCCUGCCCAGUCCGUUCCGACCCCCGACCAGCAUCGCAAAGUACAACGGUGAAACCAAACCAGAGUUGUGGCUGGCCAAUUUUAGGCUGGCCUGUCAGCUAGGAGGCGCUCGAGGAGAUGAUCGAGCCAUCAUCAGACAGCUACCGCUCUUCCUCUUCGACACCGCCCGUCGGUGGCUCGAGGAACUUCCAGCCGAUGAGAUUCACGACUGGGUCGAUUUGGUUAGGGUUUUCGAGGGUAAUUUCAAAGGGACCUACAUAUGUCCUGGGAACUCGUGGGACCUCAGCAAGUGCAAGCAGAAGUCAGGAGAAACUCUUCGAGAGUACGCUCGACGCUUCUGGAAACAGCGCACCGAGCUACCGCAUAUCCCCGACCAUGAUGUCAUCCUAGCCUUUGUCUCUGGUACCACCAGUCGAGACUUAGUACGGGAAUUGGGCCGGAAUCGCCCUCAGACCAUCGAUGAGCUGAUGGACGUAGUGGCAAAUUACGCAGCAGGGGAGGAAGCGGUCGGUGCCUUCUUUAGCUGUGAAGGAAGGAAAGGCAAGCAGCCUACCGAUGAAGAUGGGGUCUCCAGUCGAGGGCCCAAGAAGAACAAGAAGAAGCAGAAAGCGCGGCAGUUCCAGCGGGAAGAUUUCGACGACAAUCUUGUCGCCGCCAUGGAACGCAAGAGGCCUCGAGGCCCUCCAGAUGGAGGCAUCUUCGAUAAGAUGCUAGAGGAGCCAUGUCCUUACCAUAAGGAAGGAGCCAACCACAAGCUCAAGUACUGUCGUAUGCUGAAAAAGCAUUUCGACGGUCUGGGGUUCAAAAAGGACGCACACGACGACCCAAAGAAGGAGAAGGGUGGCGACAAGGAGGGCAACAAAGACAACGACGGCUUCCCUGCCGUCCAUGACUGCUACAUGAUCUAUGGUGGGCCCUCGACGCAGUUGACUACAAGGCAACGUAAGAGGGAACGCCGUGAGGUCUUCGCGGCGAGAAAGGCGGUACCCUAGUACCUCAGCUGGUCGAGCACCCCCAUCACCUUCGAUCGAGAGGACCACCCCGACAAGGUGGUUGCCCCGGGUGUCUACCCGCUCGUCGUCGAUGUUGACGGUUCUUAAGUAUCAAUUUUAAUUAUCAAAUAAACAAGAGAAAGGACCAAUAUGCAACCAACACCUAGAAUUAGGGUUUGAUCUGACAGAAUUCCACAAGUUUUGUUGUUUAUCUAUUUCUGCAGGGGGUUAUCAGGAAAUUAGGAAGAAAGGCCCACAUGUCGGGAUUACAUAGAGAUAUCAAUGCGCCACACGAUUUUCUACCAUCUAGAAGACUCCAGAAGCCACGGGAAGAAAGCAGAGGCCGAAAGGGGCCAGGCCCAGGGCGCUCGCCCUGGUGACCUCGGCGCCCGCCCCCUAUUGGAUGCCAAUCGGGACUCUCUUCGCACGGGAUGUUCCACCGACCUAUUGGAUCAAGGAAAACAUAGUACCACCUCGCCUACCCACCCAAAAACGCAUAGAGGAGGAGGACUAUAUAAGUAGACCCCCUCUGGCCCCUGGAGAAGACAAGAAAUUAUCAUAGAGAUUGAGGGGUGCCCUCGAAGGAAAACCUCUUCUCUAAUUAAUAUUUAUUUUUAGGCUUAGCCACCAAUGUAAAGUAGAAAUAGAUCUUAUAGUUUCUACUAGAUUGAGAGAGAUAGAGUGGAGGUGUAGAUUGGAGGAAGCCCGCCUUGUCGGUGUCUACUCCAAGCUUGUACCUGCGGGAUCAAGUUCUCCUAACCCGAAGCUUGCUCCUAGGAUUCUUCAGUAUUUCGACUUCUAAAUUCUAGUAAGUUCUUGUUUUAUUGUUCUUCUAGUUUAUGAGUUUACUUUAAUCUCUUCACGUAGAGAUUAGAGUAAUCAUUGCUGGCGUAAACGUGGUGUUUAGGCUGGGGUACUCAUAGAUAUUCCCUGACUAGCUGGACCGUGGUAGUAGUGAGGAACGUGACAAUUCCGAGUUACCUUUGCAGACCAUAUCUCGUUAGCAGGAAGGAUAGAGUUUAUAGGUGCAGGUUGAACAUCCUUUGUGGUGUCUAGAUUUCGUUAGCCUCCCCAAUAGAACAGUAGAUCAUCCUUACCAAGGUUAGAAGGAGACUACGGUUGCAGUCUUCUCUAUUUAUCACUCACAUCGAAAGACAUUCUUUGUGCCUAAAGGGUUAGUAGUAAUAGACCGGUUAGUCAGAUGCACUCUUUCUCCUAGUGGUAAAAAAAUAAAUACGAUACUCUGUAUAACCUCCCAAGUGAAGUGCUCACCAAUAUCCGUGCGCUUGCGGAUCAAUUUCUUAUUGCGUUCCCAAAUAUCAACAGUCGACCCCAUCAUCGUCAACACCCGGCUCUCAAAGGUGCUGAUGGAUGGCGGCAACAGCCUCAACAUCAUCUAUCUCGAGACCCUUGACCUCCUAGGCAUCGACAGGGGGCGCUCCAACCAAGCGCCGGCGGCUUCCAUGGCGUCGUGCCAGGAAAGAAGGCUCUACCGGUGGGUCGAAUCGACCUCCCGGUUUGCUUUGGCACGGCGGCCAACAUCAGAAAUGAGACCCUCACCUUUGAGGUGGUGGGAUUCCGAGGCACGUACCACGCCAUCAUCGGGCGCCCAGGCUACGCCAAAUUCAUGGCUAUACCCAACUACACCUACUUGAAGCUGAAGAUGCCCGAUCCCAAAGGCGUCAUCACCGUCAGCUCCUCCUUCGAGCACGCUUACGAGUGCGACGUCGAGUGCGUCGAGUAUGGGGAGGCGGUCGAGAAUUCCACCGAGCUCGUCUCGAAGCUCGAGGCCCUGGCCGCUGAGGCUCCAGACCCCAAGCGCCACGCGGGCAGCUUCGAGCCAGCGGAAGGAACCAAGAAGAUCCCGCUCGACCCUAACAACUCCGACGGCAAGGUGCUGACGAUCAGCGCCGACCUCGACCCCAAAUAGGAAGCUGUGCUCGUCGACUUUCUCUGUGCGAACGCCGAUAUGUUUGCAUGGAGUCCCUCGGACAUGCCAGGCAUACCGAGGGAAGUCGCCGAGCACUCCUUGGAAAUUCGAGCCGGUUCCAAGCCAGUGAAGCAACGGUUGCGCCAAUUCGACGAGGAGAAGCGCAAGAUCAUUGGCAAGGAGGUCCACAAGCUUUUGACGGCUGGAUUCAUCAAGGAGGUUCACCAUCCCGACUGGUUAGCAAACCCUGUACUAGUUAAGAAAAAGAAUGGGAAAAUGAGGAUGUGUGUCGAUUAUACGAGUUUAAAUAAAGCAUGUCCAAAAGUUCCCUUUCCAUUACCACGUAUUGAUCAAAUUAUUGAUUCUACUGCGGGAUGUGAAACCCUUUCUUUCCUUGAUGCAUAUUCUGAUUAUCAUCAAAUAAAAAUGAAAGAGUCCGACCAGCUGGCGACCUCUUUCAUCACACCUUUUGGGAUGUAUUGCUAUGUAACCAUGCCGUUCGGGCUCCGAAACGCGAGAGCCUCGUACCAGCGCUGCAUGCUCCAUGUGUUUGGCAAGCACAUAGGGUCGACAGUCGAGGCCUAUGUCGAUGACAUCGUCGUCAAGUCAAAGCAAUGGGGAGACCUGAUCCAAGACCUCGAGAUCGCUUUCAGCUGCUUACGCGCCAACCAGAUCAAACUCAACCCUGAGAAAUGUGUUUUCGGCGUGCCUCGAGGCAUGCUCCUGGGAUACAUCGUUUCCCAGCGCGGGAUCGAGGCCAACCCCGAGAAAGUCACGGCCAUCACAAGAAUGGGGCCGAUUCGAGACAUCAAGGGCGUGCAGAGAGUGACGGGAUGUUUAGCGGCGCUGAGCCGUUUCAUCUCGAGGUUAGGAGAAAAGGCGUUGCUGCUGUAUCGACUUCUGAAGAAGGUCGAGCGUUUCUCUUGGACCCCCGAGGCCGAGGAAGCCCUCGAAAACCUGAAGAAAACACUGACCUCAGCACCAGUCCUGGUCCCACCUCAACUCGCGGAGCCACUGCUCCUUUACGUUGCCUCGACGACCCAGGUCGUCAGCGCAGCUGUGGUGGUCGAAAGGCAGGAGGAGGGGCAUGCGAUGCCAGUCCAGAGGCCGGUCUAUUUCGUCAGCGAGGUGCUCUCGGAGACCAAGGCACGUUACCCCCAAAUCCAGAAGCUGAUCUACGCCGUAAUCCUCGCCCAACGCAAGCUGCAGCACUACUUCCUCGGCCACCUAAUCACGGUGGUCUCGUCCUUCCCCCUGGGCGAAAUAAUCCAAAGUAGGGAGGCCACGGGAAGAAUAGCCAAAUGGUCGGUCGAGCUCAUGAGUGAGACCCUCACUUAUGCGCCUCGCAAGGCUAUCAAGUCACAAGCCCUGGUGGAUUUCGUCGUGGAGUGGACAGACUCCUAGCUUCCCCCGACUCAGGUUCACUCAGAACUAUGGACGAUGUAUUUCGACGGGUCUCUCAUGAAGACGGGAGCUAGGGCCGGCCUGCUGUUCAUCUCGCCCCUGGGCGUCCAUAUGAGAUAUGUCAUCAGGAUUCACUUUGCCGCAUCCAACAAUGUUGCAGAGUACGAAGCUCUUGUUAACGGUCUGAAGAUCGCCAUCGAGCUCGGAGUUCGACGCCUAGACGUUCGAGGCGACUCCCAGCUCGUCAUCGACCAAGUAAUGAAAGCCUCGAAUUGCCACGACCCGAAAAUGGAGGCGUACUGCAAGGAGGUCCGUUGACUCGAGGACAAGUUCCACGGCCUCGAGCUCGUCCACGUCGCCCGACGCUACAACGAGGCAGCUGACGAACUCGCCAAGAUCGCGUCAACCCGAGGCACGGUACCGCUUGACGCAUUCUCAAGGGAUUUUCAUGUGGUUAAAUUAAGAUAUUCACUUGUACACAUCUACUACACCAUCCAUCACCACUCAUUAAAAUUGCUAAAAAUAUUAUCACUCACUGUCCCAAAUAUUGUUAUUCUCUCUCUAAAAAGAUUUAAUGCAGAAGAGGCAUGGGUUAUGCAAAAAUAUGCGAGGAAAUAAAAAGGGGCAAGUGCCCGGAACCUCGGAAAAGAAAGAAAAAGAGUGAAACGAGAGGUAAAAAUGGACAAGUGUCCGGAGUAGAAUUAGGGGUACAAAGAUGCCCACU